CCCCGCCUGCAGCCUCUCCUGAAGCCCUGGAGCGCAUUUUCCGGAAUUCCGGACCCCAGAACUUCCAGGCGGUUACACCCUGGGAACCUCCUAGGUGAGCCCCCCCAGUAGGCGCGACCCCAGUGUCCUCACCGAGCUCUGGCCCCUUCGCGGCCCCUUCUGUACCGAGGCUUCCACGGUUGCCUAGGCGCCUACUGUGUACCGUCAGGAGCUGGAGGCACAGAGCCCCAAGGCCUCGUGGGGCUGGAUUCUGCGGGGGUAGUCGCACUUGUUGCUGAAUCACGAGACGGAAGUUUGUAACUAGGGAGAUUUAGCGGAGUCUUCGACGGCUGGAGUUGACCAGGAACGUGAUCCACCAAAAGACACUGCCACUGGCGGGAAGUCCGUGCUCAGCUACUCCAGUGGUGUUCAGCUACUCCAAUUGGUUCCAGUUGGCUGUUUGGCCAAGCUCCAGCUGUCAGCCACCCCUGAAGCCCCACCAUUGUAAAGCCACCCCUUCAGCAGACCAGCUGACUUCAGUCAGUGUUGGGCCGAGCCCAGCCCACACUCCUGACUUACAAAGCAGUGGCAGGUGUUUCUCAUCAGCUACUGAGUCUGGUAGCAGGUACUUGCACCUGCCACACCCCUCCAGAUCCAUAGUGUCUCCAUCCUGACCAGACCUGGGGAAGUUUCUAGAUUCUGGCCUGUUGAAAUUCUGCUCUCUAGGCAGGACCAAACUUCCAGAAAAUAGCUGAGUGGUGGGUUGUCAGCCUUUGAUAGGCCUCACCACUGGGUACUCAAAGCAACCUCCCAGUGUCCUCAGCACCAUGGACUCAUUUGCCUGUGACACAGGCAGAGGGGCGGAAGGUGACAGGAGGGAGAAGUCAGGAUGCUUAUUCCCUCCACUCCCUGAGUCAUUGAAGAGAACUGUCUUUCUGGCAAGGCUGUAACUUCUGGCAGGCUUCCCCCCCCCACUCUUACCCCCACCGCUCCCCUCUUGGCCCUGUCUCCAAGGCAAUAGCCCCAAGAACUGCACCAUGUAUGGCUGCUUUCCCUGGGCUCGGCUCUCUGUGCUAAGGUUUUCUUAAAAGCAGAUCCCGAGACAAAGUUUGGGGUUUAUUUAAAGAGAUCUAAGGAAACACCACAAGAAGAAUGCAGAAAAAGACAGAGCAGUGAGAGAACCUAGUAGCAGGCACGUGACCAGCCUGGGCUCUGGAAUCAGCCUCUGGGAGAUUAUGGGUUAUGCAGUUAACCCAGCUGAGUAUCCAGGGAGUGAGGGGCUUAACCACAGACUCUCCUCCAUUAUCAGGUGUGUUUGUGGGUAGAUUUUGCAAAGAUCAAACCCUAGACUUCUCGAGUGGCAGGCAAACACUGUAUCUCUCCCCGCCUCCCAGUGUCCUGGUCUUGUUUUAAGGCUACUUCCAUUAUCUUCUUGGUACGCUUAGUUCACAUGGUUAAGCUUGCUCCAGUGGCUGCCUAGUAUCUGCAGCAGAGAGACACACCCAGGGGCAUCCAGGUGUUAGUGGAAAGUAGUCUUCACCAUGUACACUGACGUCCAGAUUACUCAGGCAGCUCAUGGCACAGUUCACACCUUUGCAGACAGUCUGGUAAGCUUUCCUCCAUUACUCUGUUUGAGUGUGUCAUUUGGUCCCUGCCAGUUGAUACAGACUGGCUGUGAGCUUCUCCACACAACACACAUCAGGCUGAGAGCUGGAAGAGGGAUGGAGAGAAACACCUUCCCCCAAAUGCAUUCUGCACCCAACAGAGUUUGUUACUGAGGUAGGUUCCCAAGCACACAGGAACUUCUGCUCUCUUAGCCUCCCUGCAAAACUAAGCUCAAGGUCUAACCCGAGCUAGGGUGGAGUGGUUCAUGCCUGGAUUCCUAGUGCUUGGGAGGUAGAAGCCAGAUUGCCACAAAAUUAAGAGCUACGUUGAGAGUGAGACACUACUUCAAAUAUAUGUAAAUCCAAUUCCAGCAAGUAAAUUGCAUUAUGGAAACUGCUUAGGGGUGAGCUCCAGCUAAGACUAGAGUCAGGGUAAUAAUGCAGUAACUCAAUAGCCAAACAGUCAAUAUUACAAAGUUAACAAAGUUUCACAUUUCACUAAAAAACAAACAAACAAAAACAAAACUACAAUCUGCCAGGCCAGGCCUUUAAUCCAAACACUCGUGAGGCAGAGGCAGGUGAUCUUUGAAUUCAAGGCUGGUCUAGUCUGGGUGAGUGGAUGAGUGGUCCCCUCCGGUCCUGCUGAAUCUACAGCACUGGGGACUCAAGGUCACCCUGGGUGUCAGGUUUAUGCCAGUCAGAAGAGGAAGUUUGAGGAAGCCAGGUUCAGAAGGAGCACAUUUAAGUCAUUGUAGCAGGAGUCAUUGUAGUAGGGUUUAGCACAGAGUUGUGCAAGGAGAUGGGGUAGGCUGGGAAAUGUAGUUCAGCAACAUCCAAAGUUGGCCAGAGUAGGAAAGUAUCUUCCUUGAGGAAGUCCUUUUGCUGUUCCCCUCUCCAGAAGACUUGCUACCAUUCUCACGAGGUCAGAAAGUCCUGUGAGGGGCUGGAGAGAAGGCUUGGCAGUCCAGAGCACACCCUGGUCUUGCGGAGGUUCUGAGUCUGGUUUUCAGCACUAUGUGAGUUGACUUGUAAUUGCCUGUAACUUCACUUUUACUCAUGUAUGCCCACUGUGUGUGUGUGUAUGUUGUGUGAACAUAUAUAUAAUCUCAAUCUAAAAAAAGGUCCUAUGAAGAAUGAAUGUGUUGGUGCAUGCCUGUAAUUCCAGCACUUGGGAAGUGGAGGUAGAAGAAUUGGGUCAUCCUGAGCUACAUAGUGAGUUCAAGGCCAGCCUGAUCUACAGGAUGAGUCCAGAACAGCCAGGGACACACAGAGAAACCCUGUUUCAAAAAAAAAAAAAACCAAAAACAAAGAAACAAACAAAAAGCAAAAACAGAAAACAAAGUUCCAUGUCAUACUGUUAGAAGGAAAAUGGAUAGAACCAAAAAUCACCAGGUCAAAUAAAUCAAGUUAAAAGUGAAAAGUAGAUUACAAGUACAGAAUAAUUAUCAUAAGGGGCUGUUGGUUAGACAAGGGUCAGGAGGAGAAAUGGAGAAGGUAACUGGUGCAUUACCUCAAAUGUGCUCAAAGCACACUGUUUAUGUCUCUUCCCAUUAUCUUGUACAAUUAAUGUCCACUAAUCAAAGAAGACAGUCUUAUGACUUUGGUAGCCAGUGGGUAGGUUAAUCUUCUCUCUAGCAAUCCAAGCUGAGGCCCUGGUCUGAGAAUGUAAGCUUGUAUGUUGUGGCGUGUAUAUGAUGGAGUGUCAGGGGAGACCCCAGUCAUUGUGACACCUCCGAGAUAGAGGGGACCGUCAUCUGAGCAGGGCCUUGGUGCAUCCCUGUGCAGAUUUAGGUAGGUGGCUGCCGGUGAGGCUGUCCAGGUAGCAGUGUUAGUCCCCUGCACCUCUGUUGGUAUAAUGUUCUUUUAAAAUGUAUAUGCCUUAUCCUUGUUAAUUCAAAUGCUGAUUUCCCCAGCCCCAACUCUCUGGUUUCAAUCUGGAUAUUGCAUUGUGAUAAGCAUCCUGUCUCAACUCUUGUGUAAACAGGACACAAAUAAAGCAACUAGAUACAAUGUUGUGCAAUGGGAGGGGCCAGAGGACAGGAAAGAGGGGAGGAGCUAGAGAACAGGAAGGGGCGAGAAGGAGGAGGAGCUGGAGGAGAGGAGAGCAGAGCGGGAGGAGAGACCUAAGAUUUCACAAAAAGCAAGUAAAAUGUGGGAAAUCUAAAUGUUAGGAAACUGAGGGCUUGGAGGUUGAGGAGGGAGUAAAUAUUGCCCAGCAUUGUGUUCUAGGUUAACUAAAAA
This is a long non-coding RNA of Psammomys obesus (fat sand rat), 3824 nucleotides long. RefSeq lists it as uncharacterized. The transcript has 2 exons. The record is from RefSeq and is a predicted model, not a curated record. Lineage: Eukaryota; Metazoa; Chordata; Mammalia; Rodentia; Muridae.